RNAcentral lists this ribosomal RNA (292 nucleotides) under uncultured bacterium. RNAcentral's name for it is "partial 16S ribosomal RNA". It matches the Rfam family "Bacterial small subunit ribosomal RNA", at positions 505 to 796 of the family's 1533-position model. The record is from RNAcentral.
GUGUCAGCAGCCGCGGUAAUACGGAGGAUCCAAGCGUUAUCCGGAUUUAUUGGGUUUAAAGGGUGCGUAGGCGGCCUGUUAAGUCAGGGGUGAAAGACGGUAGCUCAACUAUCGCAGUGCCCUUGAUACUGAUGGGCUUGAAUGGACUAGAGGUAGGCGGAAUGAGACAAGUAGCGGUGAAAUGCAUAGAUAUGUCUCAGAACACCGAUUGCGAAGGCAGCUUACUAUGGUCUUAUUGACGCUGAGGCACGAAAGCGUGGGGAUCAAACAGGAUUAGAUACCCCCGUAGUCC